CAACUCCAACAGACACUUUCACUUUUUUCGCAGACAGAUCAUCAUCAGUAGGUGGUGCCAUUCGACCUAUGCAGAUUUUGCAGUUAAGAUCAAAGAGAUGAUUUUUGUGUUGACUUGUGGUGUCUGGAGAUGCAGAUUCAUUUCCUUCUUUAUCUUUCUCAGCUUCCUCUGACUUCUCAUGCAACUUCAUCAUAUUAGGUUCCUGAAUUUCCAUAACUUCUUGUUCUUUCAUUGGUGUUUCGCUUUCAAUUUCAAUUUCGCCUUUGUGAGUAAUUUUUGUGAUAGGUCUUCUUUCAACUUCCCUCUGUUCUUUCUCAAUCAUUUCAAUUGUGUGUCUGUUUUCUCUUUGUCUCCAAGCAGCCAGUUCUUUGGAGGCCAGUUCUUCUGGGCUCAUUUUUAUUAGAUGGUCUGGAGUAACCUCUCCUUUCAGUACUUUUUUGAACAAUAUAUUAUUUUUAGGAUCUUUUAGAUUGAACAUUAAACUUCUGUAUUUGUUCUUAUAUUUUGAGUCAGUGUCCCGAAAAAAAGAAAACAGUUCUCUUUCAAUCCUUGUGGCAACUUUUGCUGCUCUCUCCUCAGGAAUCUUUAAACUAGAGUCUGUCAACCUUUUCAUCAGAAUUUCCUUAAGAGAUUGCUUAACGCUAUGUCUUAUCUGAUCAGCAGAAGGUUUGGAAGCUGGCACGUUUGGUAAAUGUGUUGCACUGGUUGGUCCUUUCUCAUUUUUCUUUUUCUUAAUUUCUUGUUUCUCAUGAACACCUGAUUUUGUGGACUUUUCAACCACACUCAGUGACUCUUUACUAAUUUUUUCACCUUUUUCUUCAGAGGAGCGCCGAGGAAUUACAGCAGUUUGUGAUACUUUACGAGCAGGAACAUGUUGGCCUUUUUUAGUAUCUGAGUCUCUGGAUUCUGACAAGUUCUUCCCAUCACCAGAUUCCCGUUUGAAAAUUUUGACUUUGUGUUUCCCUGUGUCCUCUGUCUGCUUUCCUUUUUCAGUUCCUACAUUCAGAUUACAAGUAGGCCCUUGCUUUGACAUCCCUGGUUUUUCAUACUCAAUUGUUUUUUCUUCCUUGUUGCUGUCAAUUUUCACUUGAGUAUCCAGAACACUUUGAUCCAAACACUCUGCCUUUUUGUCUUCUUCGGCACAGCAUUUCACACACACAUAUUCUUUAUCUUCUUCGCCCAUCUGCUGCGCUUGAGAAAGACUCAGUCCAACACAAUCACCAUGAAACCAGUCAUCGCACCUACCACAGCCUACCAUAAACCUGUUGCCAUGUGGCUUUUUGCAAAAGCCACACUGCUUGUUGGGCACCCAAACAUGUUUGCUUUCACUAGCAGGGGUAUGCUCCAAGCCUUCCCUUUUAACAGUUGAAAUGUUAUCUGGAAUGAACAACGGGGGUUCAUCAAGUGAAAGACUUUUGCUACUUCUUCUCUGGCGAGGUUGAAGAUUCUUAUCAGUUCUUUUUGGUUUGUUUUUUUCUUUAUCAUCCUCCUUCACAUGUUCUACCA
This 1506-nucleotide long non-coding RNA is filed under the name Gallus gallus (chicken). The record is from RNAcentral. Lineage: Eukaryota; Metazoa; Chordata; Aves; Galliformes; Phasianidae.